CCCUUAGACGUUCUGGACCGCACGCGCGCUACACUGACCAGUGCAACAAGCAUCCGUCCUUGGCCGACAGGCUCGGGCAAUCUUUGAACGCUGGUCGUGAUGGGGAUAGACUUUUGCAAUUUUUGGUCUUCAACGAGGAAUUCCUAGUAAACGCAAGUCAUCAACUUGCAUUGAUUACGUCCCUGCCCUUUGUACACACCGCCCGUCGCACCUACCGAUUGAAUGGUCCGGUGAAAUCUCGGGACGGCGGCUUGGUCGCUUGCGUCCGACUGCUGAAACUUGAUUAAACCAUAUCAUUUAGAGGAAGGUGAAGUCGUAACA
RNAcentral lists this ribosomal RNA (321 nucleotides) under uncultured eukaryote. Its description in RNAcentral is "partial 18S ribosomal RNA". It matches the Rfam family "Eukaryotic small subunit ribosomal RNA", at positions 1470 to 1796 of the family's 1831-position model. The record is from RNAcentral.